GAUGAAGAACGCAGCGAAAUGCGAUAAGUAAUGUGAAUUGCAGAAUUCAGUGAAUCAUCGAAUCUUUGAACGCACAUUGCGCCCGUUAGCAUUCUAGCGGGCAUGCCUGUCCGAGCGUCAUUUCAACCCUCAGGGUCCCCGUUCCGGCGGGGAACCUGGUGUUGGGGAUCGGCCCGCCCCGUGCGGCGCCGUCCCCCAAAUUCAGUGGCGGUCUCGCUGCAGCCUCCCCUGCGUAGUAGUUACAACCUCGCAUCGGAGCUCAGCGCGGCCACGCCGUAAAACCCCCGACUUUCUAAACGUUGACCUCGGAUCAGGUAGGAAUACCCGCUGAACUUAAGCAUAUCAAUAAGCGGAGGA
This 357-nucleotide unclassified non-coding RNA is filed under the name soil metagenome. RNAcentral's name for it is "partial contains 5.8S ribosomal RNA, internal transcribed spacer 2, and large subunit ribosomal RNA". The stretch from base 1 to 120 matches the Rfam family "5.8S ribosomal RNA", at positions 35 to 154 of the family's 154-position model. The record is from RNAcentral.